UACGUAGGGGCGAGCGUUAUCCGGAAUUAUUGGGCGUAAAGAGUACGUAGGUGGUUUGGAAAGCGUGUGGUGAAAUUGCGGGGCUUAACCCCGUCCAGCCAUGCGAACUUUCAGACUUGAGUGCAGGAGAGGGAAGUGGAAUUCCUAGUGUAGCGGUGAAAUGCGUAGAUAUUAGGAGGAACAUCAGUGGCGAAGGCGACUUCCUGGACUGUAACUGACACUGAGGUACGAAAGCGUGGGUAGCAAACAGGAUUAGAUACCCGCGUAGUCCCUGAGCGGG
Molecule: ribosomal RNA, 280 nt
Filed under: uncultured prokaryote
Description: partial 16S ribosomal RNA
Rfam family: Bacterial small subunit ribosomal RNA
Source: RNAcentral